Molecule: ribosomal RNA, 460 nt
Filed under: uncultured bacterium
Lineage: Bacteria
Description: partial 16S ribosomal RNA
Rfam family: Bacterial small subunit ribosomal RNA
Source: RNAcentral
CCUACGGGCGGCAGCAGUGAGGAAUAUUGGUCAAUGGACGAGAGUCUGAACCAGCCAAGUAGCGUGACGGAUGACUGCCCUAUGGGUUGUAAACUUCUUUUAUAUGGGAAUAAUAUGUUCCACGUGUGGGAUUUUGUAUGUACCAUAUGAAUAAGGAUCGGCUAACUCCGUGCCAGCAGCCGCGGUAAUACGGAGGAUCCGAGCGUUAUCCGGAUUUAUUGGGUUUAAAGGGUGCGUAGGUGGAUUUUUAAGUUAGUUGUGAAAGUUUGCGGCUCAACCGUAAAAUUGCAGGUGAUACUGGCAGUCGUGAGUACAGUAGAGAUGGGCGGAAUUCGUGGUGUAGCGGUGAAAUGCUUAGAUAUCACGAAGAACUCCGAUUGCGAAGGCAGCUCACUGGACUGCAACUGACACUGAGGCUCGAAAGUGUGGGUAUCAAACAGGAUUAGAUACCCCAGUAGUC